Non-coding RNA from Acanthosepion pharaonis, 108 nucleotides. The record is from the annotation of a GenBank genome assembly. Lineage: Eukaryota; Metazoa; Mollusca; Cephalopoda; Sepiida; Sepiidae.
GGAUAUCAGGUUGAAACACCGGUUCGUGUAUGAUCACCGAAGUUAAGCAACGUCAAGCCUCGUCAGUACUGAGAUGGGUGACCGCCCAGGAAUACCAAGUUCUGUAAU